CCAGAUGAGAAAAUAGAAAAUGAAGCUAUUGGGGAGACAAUCGAAGGUCAAACUACAGCUGGAGCACCAGUUGAAGAAGCCAUAACAGCUGAGGAAAUGGUAGAGGAUGUUAAGGUGCUAGAUGAUAAACCUGCAGCAGCUGAGAAACCUGUAGAGGAUGUUAAGGUGCUAGAUGAUAAACCUGCAGCAGCUGAGAAACCUGUAGAGAAUGCCACAGUUGUGACACAUGAGAAUUCAACAGUUGAGAAGACUCUGCAGGAUGCCAUUGCGCCAGCAGAUACAAAUACCACACUAGGGGAGGCCCCAACGGUGGAGAAGACUAUAGAGGAUACCUCGGUCGAGGCACC
This 347-nucleotide long non-coding RNA is filed under the name Sorghum bicolor (sorghum). RNAcentral's name for it is "long non-coding RNA (SBIC_LNC016692)". The record is from RNAcentral. Lineage: Eukaryota; Viridiplantae; Streptophyta; Magnoliopsida; Poales; Poaceae.